RNAcentral lists this transfer RNA (64 nucleotides) under Callerebia polyphemus. RNAcentral's name for it is "tRNA-Cys". The record is from RNAcentral. RNAcentral also lists the same sequence under 1 other name. Lineage: Eukaryota; Metazoa; Arthropoda; Insecta; Lepidoptera; Nymphalidae.
AGUCUUAUAGUCAUAUUUUGAUAUAAAAUUGCAAAUUUUAUGGGGUAUUAUAAUACUAAGGCUU